Molecule: long non-coding RNA, 3719 nt
Filed under: Phoenix dactylifera (date palm)
Lineage: Eukaryota; Viridiplantae; Streptophyta; Magnoliopsida; Arecales; Arecaceae
Description: long non-coding RNA (PDAC_LNC011050)
Source: RNAcentral
UGAGAGGGUCGUCUCGGCGCUUUACAGGGACGUCUCGGCUUGUUUGCACUUUUUGCAUGGGGACGACUCCGCUGCCUUGGGGACAACUCCGUUGUUAUAACUCCGAAAAACAUGUCUUCUGGAAUUCUCUGAAAGAGUCGACUCCGCUCUUUCAGGGGACGUCUCCGCUGCCUUAACUCCGAAAAAGACAUCCUCUGGAAAACCCUGAGAGAGCCGACUCCGCUACACUGGGGACGACUCGGAAACUCACUUUUUUAACUUGCGGGGACGACUCCGCGUACUGUGGGGACGGCUCGCGCGUAUCACUUGAAAUCUGCCUUUCUGCCGCCACUCAGAGAGUCGACUCCACUACUGAGAGAGUCGACUCCGACCCUGCGAGACGCCUCGCCAGGUGCCGGGGACGUCUCCAAGUGUGCCAGUUCUUCCGGUUUGUGCCAGAGACGUCUCUGAGACUAUCCGAAGACGUCUCGGCUGUCCCUGAUCUGUUUUCUUCAUCUCAAAAAUUCUUCAAUAAAUCCUUAAAAAUUAUGGAAACUUGCCUAGACAUUUCUUAACAAUAUUCUUAAUAAAACACAUGAAUUUCUCAAUUAAAUUGUUAAGAUAAAUGGAAUUAUACUCUAGUGUUUUGUAUUCAUCAAAACCCAUUAGGGGGUCAACAAAAACUCUUUCUCCACUAUGCAUACUGCCCCGGCCGAGAUCUUAUGAACUCGGUCUUAUAAAUCACAUAGGAUCUCUCCUUAUCUAUCAAGGUCGAUAUAUUCUUUGUAGGUACAUACCCUACUCCUACAGUGAACUUAUUGCAGCCAAUCUACACUGCAUGGACCCAUAUGUCUAGAGAUCAUGUAUACGUGCAGUCAAACUACAAUAACCUCACUGCUAGUAGCCGAAGCACUGCACGUCAAAGGACCAGUCACACUACUGCAACAUCAAGCAAGUCACUGACGAGUGCAUAGACAUCCAAGUGACUUCUUGUCUUGGUCACGCUCAGUACCCUUGUUCUCUAAUAAGCACCUGCACUAUCACUUCAGUGUCCCUACACUAUGGACUCGAGUCUCGUUCAUCCAUAAGGAAAGCGAUGUGUGCACUGAUCGGAUCGAUCACCAUCCUCGUGAUGAUCCAUUGAUCAGGAGCAUUUAGAAAUUAAUCACCAAUGAUGCAUGGCUCAAAUUCUUAACUCUUAAGAAUAUGCAUCAUCAUCUUAUUAAUUCUUGGAUGACUCAUAGACACAUAAACAAUAUGAAUGAAAAAGAUGCCUUUUAUUUAUUCAAUAAUAAAUAGUCAAGUACAAAAUUAUGUCCUAGAAUUAACAAUGUGUCAGCUAGAUUGGCUUCUAGGGCAUACAUCUAACAAUCUCCCACCUGCACUAAAGCCAAUCAGUCAUAUAUCUUAGUCCCAUCUUCUCAAGGUGGGCUUCAGUCUUUUGCUGACUCAACUGCUUAGUGAACGGGUCCGCCACGUUGUCCGCGGAGUCUACUCUCUGCACCUCGACAUACUUCUUCUCAACAUAGUCACGUAUGAGGUGGAAGCGCCGCUCUAUAUGCUUGGACUUCUGAUGAGACCUUGGCUCCUUAGCUAGAGCUAUGGCGCCAUUAUUAUCGCAGUAGAGUGUUAUGGCAUCUGAUGACAUUACAUCCAAUUUUGCAAUGAAUUUCUUGAACCAGAAGCCUUCCUUAGCAGCUUCAGAGGCGGCAAUGUAUUCAGCUUCCAUGGUAGAAUCAGCAAUGAUCGGCUAUUUAGAACUUUUCCAAUUCACCGUACCACCAUUGCACAAGAACACAUAUCCAGAUGUUGACUUUCUAUCAUCGAUAUUAGUCAUGAAGUCUGAAUCGGUGUACCCUUCUACCUUUAACUCUGAUGUUCCUCCAAAGACCAAGAAUAAAUCUUUAGUUCUUCUCAAGUACUUAAGAAUAUUCUUCACAGCUGUCCAGUGUUCUUCACCUGGAUUUGACUAAUACCUGCUAGUGACACUCACAGCAAGUGAUAUAUCAGGUCGUGUACAUAGCAUGGCAUACAUGAGGCUCCCUACUGCCGAUGCAUAAGGGAUUUUGCUCAUGCGUUGAUUCUCUUCAGAUGUGUUGGGGCACAUCUUCUUAGAGAGAUGAAUUCCAUGCCUUAGGGGUAAGAGACCCCUUUUAGAGUUUUCCAUGCUGAAUCUUUUCAGCACUUCCUCUGUGUACAUCUUCUGUGAUAGGCCAAGCAUCCUUUUAGAUCUAUCUCUAUAGACCUUAAUCCCCAAAAUAUAGGAUGCUUCCCCAAGGUCUUUCAUGAAGAAUUCUUUUGACAAUCAGACCUUGACCGAGGUUAGCAUGGAAAUAUCAUUCCCUAUCGGAAGGAUGUCGUCCACGUACAGUACGAGGAACACGAUAGCACUCCCACUAACCUUCUUAUAGACACACGGUUCCUCUUCGUUCUUGAUGAAAUCAAAUGUUUUGAUUGCAUCAUCGAAACGAGUAUUCCAACUUCGAGAUGCUUGCUUUAGUCCAUAAAUGGACCUUUGUGGCUUGCAGACUUGUGAUCUCCAUCACUGGAAGUGAAACCCAAAUGCUGCUCCAUAUAGAUAUCUUCAUCAAGAUAUCCAUUCAGGAAAGCUGUUUUCACAUCCAUCUGCUAAAUUUCAUAAUCAUGAAAUGCUGCAAUGGCAAGCAAUGUUCGGAUGGAUUUCAGCAUGGCUAUAGGUGAAAAGGUGUUGACCCCCUAAUGGAUUUUGAUGAAUACAAAACACUAGAGUAUAAUUCUCCUUAUAUUAACAAUUUACUUGAGCAUUUCAAGUGUUUAACUAAGAAUAUUGUUAAGAAUUGUCAAGGCAUGUUCCCAUAUUUUUCGAGAAUUUAUUGAAGAUUUUUUUGAGAUGAAGAAAACGGAUCAGGGGCAGCCGAGACGUCUCCGGUUUGUUCCAGAGACGUCUCUGGCACGUAGAGGAGAAACUGGCACGUCUGGAGACGUCCCCGGCACCUGCCGAGGUGUCUCGCAGGGUCGGAGUCGACUCCCGGCUUUCUGGAGUCGACUCUCUCAGAGACGGCAGAAAGGCCGAUUUCAGGGGAUGCGCGCGAGUCGUCUCCGAAGGACGCGGAGUCGACUCUCUCAGAGAUUCCAGAGAACUUGUUUUUUUGCUGAGAAAACGUCGGAGUCGUCCCCGAUGUCGCGGAGUCAUCCCCACGCAUAAAGCACAAACAUCCCGAGACGUCCCCAGAAAGCGCCGAGCCGACUCUCUCAGAAAAACAGAAAAACAAGAAAUCGAGCUGUUCUUCUUCGAGUCGUCCCCAGAAAGCGCCGAGUCGACUCCAACAUCGUCAAAAGAAUUUUUUAUACAGCCGAGAUGUCUCUCGUUCAAGCGGAGACGUCUCCGGAACGCCUGGGACGCGACUGACACACUUUUGCAGGUUUGUUUGAAUUUCAAACGGCUAUAUUUUUGUGUCUAACGGAUCUAUUGCUUGUAGGAGUAUAAAAAGGAGCUUUUAAGUGGCUUUAAACAACUUCUCACCAACCAAACAUAAGAUCAUUCAAGAGAGAAGAAAGAGAAAGAGGUUCAAGGGAGUUGGUGCUUUCAAGAGGAGAAAUCAAGUGCAUUCAAGUCUUCUUCAUCUGAUUUCGUGCUCAUCUACUCACUCCCACUCGGCAGUCAAAGCUCGCAUUUAAGCCAACGUGAUCCACAUCGGAAGAACCACCAUCACCCACGCUUUCAACGGCAAAGAGGGUUCUUCCGGUUUUGUUGUUCUUCA